UCUGCAACCCGACUACAUGAAGCUGGAAUCGCUAGUAAUCGCGGAUCAGAAUGCCGCGGUGAAUACGUUCCCGGGUCUUGUACACACCGCCCGUCACACCAUGGGAGUCGGAAAUGCCCGAAGUCUGUGACCCAACCAUUAAGGAGGGAGCAGCCGAAGGCAGGUCGGAUGACUGGGGUGAAGUCGUAACAAGGUACC
This 198-nucleotide ribosomal RNA is filed under the name uncultured bacterium. RNAcentral's name for it is "partial 16S ribosomal RNA". It matches the Rfam family "Bacterial small subunit ribosomal RNA", at positions 1304 to 1500 of the family's 1533-position model. The record is from RNAcentral.